GAUUUAAGAGUUGCAAGUUAUGUGUUUGAUAUAAUGCCCAACUGAACUUUGAAAUGUUUUAGCUGAUCUAAUGCCUAAGUUUAUUUAAUGUCUUUGAAAAGAAAAUUACACAUGGUUAGCUCAAUCAAAAAAAUUUAUUCUCAAGCUUUCAUAUGAUUGACUUUCAUUUACAAUGCAUUAUUGCAUGCUUGCUGAUUAAGGGAAAAGAUUGCAGACCUGGGUCUCGAGGACUCAACCCUUCUAUCUUAUAUGGUUGAAGUGGCGAGAUUACCAUGUUUUAAGUGAGAAGAUGGUGAAAUUCAAUAUGCCUUUUAUAUUAUUCAUUUUACUGUGUGUUUGUAGUUAUUGAGCCUGGAAAAUCAUCUUGGAUUGCGCUAUGAGUGCCCAAGCAAUUCUAAGAUACAGGUGUGUCCAGAAUAAUUUGAUGGUCGUUAUUAUUUAUUAUAUUCUAGUUUUACAGUCUGAAAAUUAACAUUUGAUUACUUAAAAGUAAUUGUGUUGCCCCUUGUGAUUUUGAUUAAUAUAUAUUUAAUGGUUGUUAGUCGUUAUUUCACAACUAAGUUUGUAUUGAAUAUUUGCACGAAAUUAGCGCCUUACCUCCAAUUUAUGGUUCUUUUUGUAGGAAUUAUACAUAUUUUCAUAUUUAGUGUGAUUUUAUAUAGUAGAUACUCUCAUUUUGUGAAUUAAUGUUGAAAUCACUUCAGUUUCAGACUAAAAGAAGAGAAGGUUCAAGUAGCUGAUGUCUUGCUAAGCGAGCCAGAUACGCUUAGCAAGUGAAAUCCGCUAAGCGAGGCAUACAGCUCGCUUAGCAGGUUGGGAAACCCUAGAAAAGGAUCAUUAAAGAUGUGCUAGCCGAGCGUGCCGCCAGCUCGC
RNAcentral lists this long non-coding RNA (873 nucleotides) under Glycine max (soybean). RNAcentral's name for it is "long non-coding RNA (GMAX_LNC003083)". Lineage: Eukaryota; Viridiplantae; Streptophyta; Magnoliopsida; Fabales; Fabaceae. The record is from RNAcentral.